Mycena floridula is the source of this 82-nucleotide non-coding RNA. The record is from the annotation of a GenBank genome assembly. NCBI's taxonomy places the organism in Eukaryota, Fungi, Basidiomycota, Agaricomycetes, Agaricales, Mycenaceae.
GUCGCUAUAGCUCAGUUGGUUGAGUCCCCAAGAGUCAGCUCUGCAGAAUUCUAGGUUGUGGGUUCGAGUCCCACUAGUGGCA